AUUGAACGCUGGCGGCAUGCCUUACACAUGCAAGUCGAACGGCAGCACGGGUGCUUGCACCUGGUGGCGAGUGGCGAACGGGUGAGUAAUACAUCGGAACGUACCUUAUCGUGGGGGAUAACGCAGCGAAAGCUGUGCUAAUACCGCAUACGCCCUGAGGGGGAAAGCGGGGGAUCGCAAGACCUCGCGCGAUUAGAGCGGCCGAUGCCUGAUUAGCUUGUUGGUGGGGUAAAAGCCCACCAAGGCGACGAUCAGUAGCUGGUCUGGGAGGACGAUCAACCACACUGGGACUGAGACACGGCCCAGACUCCUACGGGAGGCAGCAGUGGGGAAUUUUGGACAAUGGGGGCAACCCUGAUCCAGCAAUGCCGCGUGAGUGAAGAAGGCCUUCGGGUUGUAAAGCUCUUUUGUCAGGGAAGAAACACCGGCUCUAACACAGUCUGGGAAUGACGGUACCUGAAGAAUAAGCACCGGCUAACUACGUGCCAGCAGCCGCGGUAA
Molecule: ribosomal RNA, 501 nt
Filed under: uncultured bacterium
Lineage: Bacteria
Description: partial 16S ribosomal RNA
Rfam family: Bacterial small subunit ribosomal RNA
Source: RNAcentral